Molecule: long non-coding RNA, 1439 nt
Organism: Columba livia (rock pigeon)
Lineage: Eukaryota; Metazoa; Chordata; Aves; Columbiformes; Columbidae
Exons: 2
Source: RefSeq, a predicted model, not a curated record
GGAACCGGGGGUGAGGAUGCUGGUCUUCCUCCCGGCAAGGGGCUAGAGCCCGGCCGAGGGGAUACAGCCUGAUGAGGAGGUAGGAGCACAGCGGGAAGGAUGCAGCCAGGCCGAGGGGAUGCUGCGGGCUGGAGGGGAUGCAGGUGGGCUGGGGGAUGACAGCUGGUGAAGGGGUAGGAGCGUAUGGAAGGGAUGCAGCCAGGCCAGGGGGAUGCAGCCCGGUGGGAAGGAUGCGGCGGGGCUGGGGGGAUGCAGGUGGGCUAAGAGGAUGCAGCCUGAUGGGGAGGUAGGAGCCCAUGGAAGAUGCGGCUGGACCAGGGGGAUGCAGCCAGGCUGAAGCAGGACCCGGUGGGAGGGAUGCAGCUGAGCCAGGGGGAUGCAGCCCGGUGGAAGGGGUGCAGGUGGGCUGGAGGGGAUGCUGCCUGGUGAGGAGUCAGGAGCCCAUGGAAAGGAUGCAGCUGGGCCAAGGGGAUGCAGCCUGGAAGAAGCGGGAGCCCAUGGAUGAGGCCAGGCCAGGGGGAUGCAGCCUGGGGCAAGGGGGGAUGCAGGGUGCCUGGAGGCAGUCAAGAAUAAUCAAGCCUGGCCAACAAGCUCCGUAGUUAUUUGGGAGAGAUGGAGCCAGAAUGAUGCUACAAGAAACUCCACCGUUCCGGUUCCCCCGAGCGAAGCUCCUGCCCCCCCGGACAUCCUUGGCUUCGGAUAUUUGACUUUAUUCCCAGUUGAUGUCCCCAUCCUGCUCCAUAUCAACACCACGGAGAACACAACCCAAACCUCCAAUAGCUUUAUCCAUCAAAUUAAACCAGCCACGCUUGCAGGGGUCAUCUUGCUCUGAGGAAGGACAUGGCUAACAAAGUUUGAAAUUGGCUGGGUUUUGCCUUAUUUUCAUGAGAUGUUUGAAUUUCCAGGCUUGCCCCCAUGCUUGGAUGACCAUAUGUGUCUGGAUUCCUGAGAAAGGAGAAGGUAAUAUAAUAUGAAGAUAAUAGAAUAUAAUAUCAAAUAAUAAUAUAACAAAAUAUCAUGUAAUAUAGUAUCAUAUCAUAAUCAAAAAGGGGAUGCCAGACUGUCAUUCCCAAACUGUAAAGAAUAGAAUGGCACGGAAUGGGAUAGAAUGGAAUGAAUAUAAUAGAAUUAAUAUAGCAUAAUGUCAUAUAGUAUAAUGUAAUAUAACUUCAUUAUCAUAUAAUAAUCAAAAAGGGGCUGCCAGACUAUCAUUCCCAAGCUGUAAAGAAUAGAAUGGAAUGGAUAGAAUUAAUAUAACAUAAUAUAAUGUAAUAUCAUGUAGUAUAACAUAAUAUAAUGUAAUGUAUCAAAAUCAAAAGGAGGAUGCCAGACUAUCAUUUCCAAACUGUAAAGAAUAGAAUGGAAUGGAAUUAAUAUGAUAUAAUACAACGUAACAUAACGUGACAUAAUGUAAUACAGUAUCAUAUAAUAACUGAAAA